RNAcentral lists this long non-coding RNA (1447 nucleotides) under Chinchilla lanigera (long-tailed chinchilla). Its description in RNAcentral is "lncRNA (ENSCLAG00000027043.1)". The record is from RNAcentral. Lineage: Eukaryota; Metazoa; Chordata; Mammalia; Rodentia; Chinchillidae.
AUGACUGUGAGUAACCCAGACCAGAAGUCGUGGGCUCUGCACAGUGCGAGGCAGAGGACGGGCAGUGCCAGGAAGCAGCCAGACGCUGGCGUUUUCGUUGUAAGAGAUCCCUGUCUCCCUGUUAAGGGCACAGCAACCCUAAAGCCUGACACCCAGCAGCAGCAGUGCCCAAACCCAAAGGAGGUGUUCGGACCUCGAUGCCAGGCCUCCUCCGGCCCUCUCUCCAGCAGGCUGCAGCCUGGAGGGGAGCGAGUCGCUGGGGGGCCCUUCCGGGAAGAAGAGGACAGUGCUUGGACAUUCCUUUGUGCCCAUCUCCCCAGCCGUGGCUCCCCCAGGACCACCAGCUUUGGUGCAACCACCCUUUGCAGUGGCAUCCCCACCGGCCUUGUCCAGUCCCCACCUCCCGGGGCAGCACGAAGCCGCCACCUCACCGCCUCCAGGGUGCUGCGCUGGGCUUCCCCGCCCAGCCUCCAGCCCCGAGCGCACCGUUAUUCAGCCAAAGCCGGGGAGGAGCAGGCCUCGAGGGGCGUCCGGCUCCAAAGUUGUGCAAGUGGCGCCCGGAGCUCGCCACAGCCGGCGCAUCUGCAUGAAACUUUGUCCAAGGUGCCGUCCAGCAGAAAGGCAGCUCGUGAGAACACGACGCGGUGUCCCCACCCGCUUUAUUCACCGGGCCUGACCCUGUGCGACUUCUGGCUCCUCCCCAGAGUCAAAAUGACGGUGAAAGGUGACACUGAAUCCAUUCAGAACAUGGAGGCAGCCAGGACUGCGCAGCUAAAGACCCAGAGCUGCUGCAGAAAGCGGCCAGGGCGCUGGGGUGAGUGUGCCUGAAGCGAGGAGGAGGAGGACACGGAGCAUCCCCAAGGGGAAUUAACAGCCACGUCUGUUACCGAACUACAUUUUACAAUGUAUUCGUCACCUCUGCCCAGAGGCCUUCGGGGUGUCAGGCAGCCUGGCUGGUACUGCAGCUGGACCUGUCGCCUGCCCUGAGCGGGGCCCAGUAGCCUCUGGUCCUGGAAUGAGAGAGGCAUGGAGGGACCGGAGCCUCCUGCAUGCGCCCAAGGGCACCCGUCCUCCCAGGGCAUCUGCAGACCCUGGGCAAGGACCAUGUGUUUGCAGGUGGGCCAGGAACUGGCAGAGACUGCACCCUCAGCAGGGCUGUCCUCCCCGCUAAGAUGCCUGGAGUUUUCCUCACGUUUUAGAGCCUUCAUCAUGAGCCAGGCACAUGUCUAAGUCUUACGUUUACUGCAUCACUCAGUCAUCACCGCAGUCCAGUGUGAUAGACACUGCGGUCAUCUUUACACACGAGAAGCGGGGUAACUCGCCAGGGUGACGCAGCAGGUAAUGGCAGGGACAUGACUUGAAUCCAGGCAAUCUGCCUCUGGAAAGAAUCAGCGGACAGAAUGGAAACCAGGACAGGGGUCUUUGGGGAUGGCCACCCCUUGGGAGG